This is a long non-coding RNA of Salvia miltiorrhiza (redroot sage), 1802 nucleotides long. RefSeq lists it as uncharacterized. Lineage: Eukaryota; Viridiplantae; Streptophyta; Magnoliopsida; Lamiales; Lamiaceae. The transcript is spliced from 3 exons. The record is from RefSeq and is a predicted model, not a curated record.
UAGAUAGAUAGAUAUCUGUUGACAAUCUUCCAUGGCGGCGGCGUCGGCAUCAGCGACCGACGGUGUAUCAUCCCCUGCUGCUGCAUCACAAAAGGUUUAUUUGUUUUGCUUGUGCGAUUGUUUAGAUAAUGACAGAAUGCUCGAAGAUGUUUAUGUAUUUGAUAUCGAUACAAACCCUAUGCUUCUAAAUCUAAAUGCUCCUGUAGCUCCUGCUAUUCGAUUCGAUUGUGGGUAUCCUAUGGGUAUUUGUAUUUUAAAUUCGAGGCUCUAUUUGUUUGACGGUUUCCAUCAUAAAUGCAAUCCUAAUGGAAAAUCCGUGCAUUUCUAUGAUUUUCCUUCUUCCUCCUCAUCUUGUUCUGCUGGAAAACCAGAACUUUUGGCCAUGGAGAAGUUGCAACAGUGCCCUUCUAUGAUCGGUCAGAAAUUAGAUCCCGUGGCCAUGCCAACUCCGGAUCGUACAAAGAUCCUCGCAUUUUCAGCAAGAAUUAUGGUGACGGCUCGUACAGAGGGAUAUGUUGAGAUAUACGAUUAUUUGAAUGGAACCUCAGAGGAACUGCCCCUGCCCCUUUACCCGAUCAUCUUAUGAGUCCACCUCAACCAUAUUUUUUUAUUACUGCUUACUACUUCACCAACGACACCACCUUUAUCCUUCACACUGAUACUUCUGUGGGCCUCACAUUAAGUCUUGAUCUCAACCAAAAGCAAUGGAAGGUGAUUAUGAAUGACUAUACUUGUUUGGAUGGUGCUGAGGUUGUUCGAGUCACUGAUGGUGAUUUAGGGGUGUCUAGGUAUGAAGUGUAUGACAUGAUUAUAGGACAAAAAUGUAGCAACAUUCCUCGUAAUCCCAAUGUAGAUGAGCGUUUAGUACGACGAUUUUAUAAGGUGAUGACUCUCGUAGACGCAGAUCUUAAUCAAUCACCAAAAAUUUGCAUUCUAUAUACGGAUUUUGAUUGGGAGCAUAGGAGAACUCCAUUCCGUCCUCGUGUUUACAUUGACGUUCACCGGAUCGAUCGUGCUGCCACAAUAUCUCGUGUUCGCAGAGUCACCCGCGGCGGUGGUGGACGACGUGGUGGUGUCAGGGGAUCUGGUGGUGGACGACAUGGUGACUACGUUUACAUGGAAUCAACAGUGAAUAUAAUCAAGAGUUGGAGUUAUGAAUUUGAGCUUAGCAUUCCGUAUAAGAUGUUUGAGCCCUCCGCCUUGUAUACCAAUCGAGUAAUUUUGAAAUAGAUCUCUCUCUAUCUUUGCUUCACUGGUAGUGGGUUAUCAACUCGCAAAAUACAGGUUCCAGGUCUUCUAAAAGUAUGGUACUUGCACUACAAGAAUUCAGCUGAUAGACAAUAUAAUAUAAGCAACCGUUUUCGAAAACUGUUGUCUAUAAGUUGAUAGACAACGGUUUAUAGCAUAGACGUUGUCUAUUAGUGAGAAUUAAGACGACACGUCUAAAAACCCAAUUGGGUGGACGACGUUGGGUAGUGCUGUUGUUUUUGGUCUUUUCCUUGGAGCUGGAAGCUUAAUACACGGUGGCAAAUCUUAGUAUUAGACUUGGAGAAUCAAUCCAUUUAUGCUAGACUAUGAGUAUUCUUGAAACUAAUGUGCUCCUUAAUCCUUCUUAUUUUUAGUUUGAAUGCUGCAAGAGAUAACUUCGUUUGUGUCAGUGACGAAUAGGCAGUGGAUGUGGUGCCAGAUUUUGUUUCCAAGUCUGAUGAUGGUCAUGGUUGCAAAUAAUAAUGUACAAGUUGACAAUCCUUCUCAUCUUGUUAUUUAUAUGAGUGCCCAAGGCUAUGCUGCCUAGACAACCA